Molecule: ribosomal RNA, 229 nt
Filed under: uncultured bacterium
Lineage: Bacteria
Description: partial 16S ribosomal RNA
Rfam family: Bacterial small subunit ribosomal RNA
Source: RNAcentral
UGCGCAGGCGGACUAUUAAGUCAGUGGUGAAAUCUCCCGGCUCAACCGGGAAACUGCCAUUGAUACUGAUAGUCUUGAGUAUAGUUGUAGUGGGCGGAAUAUAGCAUGUAGCGGUGAAAUGCUUAGAUAUGCUAUAGAACACCGAUCGCGAAGGCAGCUCACUAAACUAUAACUGACGCUCAGGCACGAAAGCGUGGGGAGCGAACAGGAUUAGAUACCCUGGUAGUCC